UCGUCAGAGAGUUUGAUCCUGGCUCAGGGUGAACGCUGGCGGUGCGUCUAAUGCAUGCAAGUCGAGCGAGAACCUCCGGUUCGCCGGAGGGGAGAGCGGCGGACGGCUGAGUAACGCGUGAGCAACCUGUCCUUGAGUGGGGUAUAACCUCGAGAGAUCGAGGCUAAUCCCGCA
This 174-nucleotide ribosomal RNA is filed under the name Chloroflexota bacterium. Its description in RNAcentral is "partial 16S ribosomal RNA". It matches the Rfam family "Bacterial small subunit ribosomal RNA", at positions 1 to 173 of the family's 1533-position model. The record is from RNAcentral. Lineage: Bacteria; Bacillati; Chloroflexota.